UGAGCAAUCUGCCCUUCUCAUCGGAAUAAGCGUUGGAAACGACGUCUAAUGCCGAAUACGACCUCCUUUCGCAUGAUCGGAGGUGGAAAGCUCCGGCGGAGAAGGAUGAGCUCGCGGCCUAUCAGCUAGUUGGUGUGGGUAAUGGCCCACCAAGGCGACGACGGGUAGCCGGCCUGAGAGGGUGACCGGCCACACUGGAACUGAGACACGGUCCAGACUCCUAGG
RNAcentral lists this ribosomal RNA (225 nucleotides) under uncultured bacterium. RNAcentral's name for it is "partial 16S ribosomal RNA". It matches the Rfam family "Bacterial small subunit ribosomal RNA", at positions 118 to 343 of the family's 1533-position model. The record is from RNAcentral.